UUGCGNNUGGGCGAAGCCUGACGCAGCGACGCCGCGUGGGGGAUGAAGGCCUUCGGGUUGUAAACCCCUUUCAGCAGGGACGAAGCGAAAGUGACGGUACCUGCAGAAGAAGCGCCGGCUAACUACGUGCCAGCAGCCGCGGUAACACGUAGGGCGCAAGCGUUGUCCGGAAUUAUUGGGCGUAAAGAGCUCGUAGGCGGUCUGUUGCGUCCGCUGUGAAAACUCGGGGCUUAACCCCGAGCCUGCAGUGGAUACGGGCAGACUAGAGGUAGGUAGGGGAGAAUGGAAUUCCCGGUGUAGCGGUGAAAUGCGCAGAUAUCGGGAGGAACACCGGUGGCGAAGGCGGUUCUCUGGGCCUUACCUGACGCUGAGGAGCGAAAGCGUGGGGAGCGAACAGGAUUAGAUACCCUGGUAGUCCACGCCGUAAACGUUGGGCGCUAGGUGUGGGAUCCUUCCACGGAUUCCAUGCCGCAGCUAACGCAUUAAGCGCCCCGCCUGGGGAGUACGGCCGCAAGGCUAAAACUCAAAAAAAUUGACGGA
Molecule: ribosomal RNA, 540 nt
Filed under: uncultured bacterium
Lineage: Bacteria
Description: bacterial SSU rRNA
Rfam family: Bacterial small subunit ribosomal RNA
Source: RNAcentral